Molecule: ribosomal RNA, 253 nt
Filed under: uncultured bacterium
Lineage: Bacteria
Description: partial 16S ribosomal RNA
Rfam family: Bacterial small subunit ribosomal RNA
Source: RNAcentral
UACGAAGGGGGCUAGCGUUGUUCGGAAUUACUGGGCGUAAAGCGCACGUAGGCGGACUAUUAAGUCAGGGGUGAAAUCCCGGGGCUCAACCCCGGAACUGCCUUUGAUACUGGUAGUCUCGAGUCCGGAAGAGGUGAGUGGAAUUCCGAGUGUAGAGGUGAAAUUCAUAGAUAUUCGGAGGAACACCAGUGGCGAAGGCGGCUCACUGGACUGGUAUUGACGCUGAGGUGCGAAAGCGUGGGGAGCAAACAGG